RNAcentral lists this ribosomal RNA (244 nucleotides) under uncultured bacterium. RNAcentral's name for it is "partial 16S ribosomal RNA". It matches the Rfam family "Bacterial small subunit ribosomal RNA", at positions 524 to 757 of the family's 1533-position model. The record is from RNAcentral.
UACGUAGGGUGCGAGCGUUGUCCGGAAUUAUUGGGCGUAAAGGGCGUCGUAGGCGGUUUGUCGCGUCGGGAGUGAAAUCCCGACUGGCUUAACUGGUGGGCUUGCUUUCGAUACGGGCAGACUGGAGGUAUGCAGGGGAGAACGGAAUUCCUGGUGUAGCGGUGAAAGUGGCGCCAGAGUAUCAGGAGGAACACCGGUGGCGAAGGCGGUUCUCUGGGCGAUGUCCUGACGCUGGAGGAGCGAA